This 273-nucleotide ribosomal RNA is filed under the name Triticum aestivum (bread wheat). RNAcentral describes it as "partial small subunit ribosomal RNA". The record is from RNAcentral. Lineage: Eukaryota; Viridiplantae; Streptophyta; Magnoliopsida; Poales; Poaceae.
CGAUCUCUGCAUUGGCUAUCUAGGGAGAAAUUGUCGGCACCAAAAGUUCAAGGAGGCAUGGGUUUUAGGGAGUUUGAAAAGUUUAAUAUGGCGCUUCUUGGGAAGCAUGGUUGGCGACUCCUAACUCACCCAGACUCCCAAUGUUCUCGAGUUCUCAAAGGGAAAUAUUUCCCAGAUUGUGAGUUUAUGCAGUCCCACACUCCAUCCUCGGCAUCGGCAACAUGGAAAUCAAUCAUUGCGGGGAGAUCGGCAUUUGCAAAUGGGACUAAUUAA